CGAGCACGCGCGUGUGGCAUAUCAAUAAGCGGAGGAAAAGAAACUAACAAGGAUUCCCCUAGUAACGGCGAGUGAAGCGGGAAGAGCUCAAAUUUGAAAUCUUCAGGGUUUGACCUUGACGAAUUGUAGUUUAAAGAAGUGUUUUCGGUUAGAGGAGUGGUAAAAGUUCUUUGGAACAGGACAUCAUAGAGGGUGAGAAUCCCGUAUUUGACCAUUCUUUCUAGCUUUGUGAUACACUUUCAAAGAGUCGGAUUGUUUGGGAAUGCAGUCCAAAAUGGGUGGUAAAUUUCAUCUAAAGCUAAAUAUUGGCGAGAGACCGAUAGCGAACAAGUACCGUGAGGGAAAGAUGAAAAGAACUUUGAAAAGAGAGUUAAACAGUACGUGAAAUUGUCAAAAGGGAAGCGUUUGACACCAGUGUUGUUUUUCCGAAAAUCAAUUACGAAUGUUUUAGUUUUUGAGGAGUUAUGACUUCAUCGGCUUGCUCCUUUCUUUAUGAAACUUUCUUAAUGCACUUUUCGGUUAACAAGUCAACAUCAAUUUCUUUUGUUGUAAAAGGGUAUGAGGAAGGUGGCUUUCUUUUCGGAGAAAGUGUUUAUAGCCUUGUGCCUCUACAAUCGGAGAGAUUGAGGUCUGCAGCGUAGAUCCUUCGGGGUUAGAUACGUUUGUGCUAAGUUAUAGCUUUUCAUAGACAACUUGUUGACUAUGUUUAGUCUUGUAGCUUACUCGCUGACGCUAUUUUACCUACGCUUAGGAUGUUGAACUCUAUCACACACAG
RNAcentral lists this ribosomal RNA (775 nucleotides) under uncultured Neocallimastigales. Its description in RNAcentral is "partial large subunit ribosomal RNA". It matches the Rfam family "Eukaryotic large subunit ribosomal RNA", at positions 19 to 621 of the family's 3401-position model. Lineage: Eukaryota; Fungi; Neocallimastigomycota; Neocallimastigomycetes; Neocallimastigales. The record is from RNAcentral.